This 496-nucleotide ribosomal RNA is filed under the name uncultured bacterium. Its description in RNAcentral is "bacterial SSU rRNA". It matches the Rfam family "Bacterial small subunit ribosomal RNA", at positions 21 to 507 of the family's 1533-position model. The record is from RNAcentral.
GGCUCAGGAUGAACGCUAGCUACAGGCUUAACACAUGCAAGUCGAGGGGCAGCAGGGAUUUAGCUUGCUAAAUCCGCUGGCGACCGGCGCACGGGUGAGUAACGCGUAUCCAACCUGCCCAUUACUCGGGGAUAGCCUUGCGAAAGUAAGAUUAAUACCCGAUGUUGUUUGAUUGCCGCAUGACGAUCAAACCAAAGAUUUAUUGGUAAUGGAUGGGGAUGCGUGACAUUAGGUAGUUGGUGAGGUAACGGCUCACCAAGCCCACGAUGUCUAGGGGUUCUGAGAGGAAGGUCCCCCACACUGGAACUGAGACACGGUCCAGACUCCUACGGGAGGCAGCAGUGAGGAAUAUUGGUCAAUGGUCUGACGACUGAACCAGCCAUGCCGCGUGAAGGUGACGGCCCUAUGGGUCUUAAACUUCUUUUGUUCGGGAAUAAAGUGCAGUACGCGUACUGUUUUGUAUGUACCGUUCGAAUAAGCAUCGGCUAAUUCCGUG